GAGUGAGCGGCAACNNNNNAAAUUUGAAAGCUAGCCUUCGGGUUCGCAUUGUAAUUUGUAGAGGAUGAUUUGGGGAAGCCGCCUGUCUAAGUUCCUUGGAACAGGACGUCAUAGAGGGUGAGAAUCCCGUAUGUGACAGGAAAUGGCACCCUAUGUAAAUCUCCUUCGACGAGUCGAGUUGUUUGGGAAUGCAGCUCUAAAUGGGAGGUAAAUUUCUUCUAAAGCUAAAUAUUGGCGAGAGACCGAUAGCGCACAAGUAGAGUGAUCGAAAGAUGAAAAGCACUUUGGAAAGAGAGUUAAAAAGCACGUGAAAUUGUUGAAAGGGAAGCGCUUGCAAUCAGACUUGUUUAAACUGUUCGGCCGGUCUUCUGACCGGUUUACUCAGUUUGGACAGGCCAGCAUCAGUUUCGGCGGCCGGAUAAAGGCUCUGGGAAUGUGGCCUCCACUUCGGUGGAGGUGUUAUAGCCCAGGGUGUAAUACGGCCAGCCGGGACUGAGGUCCGCGCUUCNNCUAGGAUGCUGGCGUAAUGGUUGUAAGCGACCCGUCUUGAAACACG
RNAcentral lists this ribosomal RNA (556 nucleotides) under Aureobasidium proteae. RNAcentral's name for it is "eukaryotic LSU rRNA". It matches the Rfam family "Eukaryotic large subunit ribosomal RNA", at positions 91 to 663 of the family's 3401-position model. The record is from RNAcentral. Lineage: Eukaryota; Fungi; Ascomycota; Dothideomycetes; Dothideales; Saccotheciaceae.